AAUUUUUAUUUCGAUCCUAAAUAAUAAUUAGUAAAUAAUUGGUGGGGCAUUUUGCAAAAAUAGUUUCCGAGAUUUCUCCGGCGCCAACGAAACCGGCGAAAUGCUGAGAAGACAACCCACCAUGAUCGACGUCGAAAUCGAGGAUAAGGAAGAACUCGAACAACUCCGUAAACGCCCCGCCGCCGCCUCCACCUACUCCUCUCUCCUCCAUAACCUCAGUCGGAAUAAAGACCCGGCCUCCAAAGCUCAGCGACUCGGUAUUUCCUCUUGAACUUAUCCAUUUCAUAUACUUCUCUGAUCUCCGAUUAGUUGGCCUAGUGAACGGGAACGAUAGGGGAUUAGUCCGAUUCUGAUCGUCCGCGUUUGCGGAAAAUUCUAGGAAGGCUACAGCAAAUUCUGCUUCGAUCAGUGAAGCUGCCUUUCUAAAGAGUGUGAAGAAGAUUCUGUGGCUCACUCUGGUUUUCUUCAUAUUUCUAUGGGCGAGAGGAAUGGAAAAAGUUUCGGAGACUCUUUCUCUACUCAUAAUUCACGUGCAGGUGUUUAUUUCAUUUAUCACUGAAAUGUUGUUGUAUGAUUUAGGAAAAGUUUGUAAGCCAAUAAGAUAAACUACGAAUGUGUAUGCCAAAGAAAUCAGUAGGAUCAAGAAGCAUGAUUUGUAAUUGAAAUAAAACGUUGUUGUUAUAUGACUAAGAUCUUGAGCAAAAUACAUUGAGGAUUGGAUUUAGUAUCUCUUUGGUCCCUAAGGUUGGCCACUUUUAGUACUCGAGCUAAAAUUAAUUCAAUAAAUAGCUGUUAAACUA
Cucumis sativus (cucumber) is the source of this 800-nucleotide long non-coding RNA. RefSeq lists it as uncharacterized. The record is from RefSeq and is a predicted model, not a curated record. NCBI's taxonomy places the organism in Eukaryota, Viridiplantae, Streptophyta, Magnoliopsida, Cucurbitales, Cucurbitaceae. The transcript has 2 exons.